GAGGUGCGCGCGCAGCGUGGGAGGAGGCCAACUCUCGGGGCGCUCCCUAGCCCUGGGUGGGUGGAGCGGGGGAAGCGGAGUACGUUGGACCCGGCUCCGCCCUACCCCACGGGGCCGCCUGGAGAGGUGCUGGGAGCUGGGUGGAGCUUAGAGGAAUUAAACUUUGGCCCUGCGCCUCGUCCAGCCUAGGUUCCACCCUUUUCUGGGAACUUUACACCCCGCCACUCCUGAGCACCGCACACCGGCUUCCUCCCAGUCCCUCAUCUGAGAACUCAUGAAGCCACUUGGAAUCCCUCUCUGCUUUGCCUGGCUCAUUCCAUGUCAAUUUCAGAUCUUCACUUCAGGUCAGCUCCAAGGAGGCUAUCCUUGCCCAUCUUCCUAAAAUAGAGCUCUCAAAACCUGGCUGUUUUCCUUCAGAGCACUGGCCUCCAAUUGCUCCGGUAGAUUGCAAAUGACCUGCUUUCUUUCUGUUCCCGGGCGUUUGGACCCCUGUCUUGGACCGCUGUCGGAUAGUAAAUCCCAAGUAAGGUACCUGCCGUCGGCAGAUUUGAGCUUUCUUCUUGGACACCUAAUACCCAGAGUCCUCCAGGCUCCGGUAGAUUGCAAAUGACCUGCUUUCUUUCUGUUCCCGGGCGGCAUCGGACCCGUCGGAGAGUAAAUCCCAAGUAAGGUACCUGCCGUUGGCAGAUUUGAGCUUUCUUCUUGGACACCUAAUACCCACAGUCCUCCAGGCUCCGGUAGAUUGCAAAUGACCUGCUUUCUUUCUGUUCCCGGGUGGCAUCGACCCGUCGGAGAGUAAAUCCCAAGUAAGGUACCUGCCGUUGGCAGAUUUGAGCUUUCUUCUUGGACACCUAAUACCCACAGUCCUCCAGUAAAUCCCAAGCAAGGUACCUGCCGUCAGCAGAUUUGAGCUUUCUUCUUGGACACCUAAUACCCACAGUCCUCCAGGCUCCGGUAGAUUGCAAAUGACCUGCUUUCUUUCUGUUCCCGGGCUGCGUUCGGACCCCUGUCGGAUAGUAACUCCCAAGUAAGGUACCUGCCGUCGGCAGAUUGGAGCUUUCUUCUUGGAGACCUAAUACCCACAGUCCUCCAGGCUCCGGUAGAUUGCAAAUGACCUGCUUUCUUUCUGUUCCCGGGCUGCGUUCGGACCCCUGUCGGAGAGUAAAUCCGAAAAAAACAAACAAAGACAUGGAUUUACUGUGCAUAUUAGCAGAUCCAUACUGGAAAAUGCAUGGAGGUUUCAUAUACACCACUUACAGAUGCAGAAAGGCAGUGAACUCCUCCGGAGUAGCUGUCAGGUCACCAUUGAGGUCUGCAGCUUUGAAUCUUCUCUCAUCACGUGGCAGCAUCUUUUUAAAGGUGUGAUGAUCUGAAGAAUCAUGAAACUCUGCGGGGUUUCCUAGGUUUUCAGCUCCUCAGUAGUGACAAAGCCAUACCCAUCAUUGUCGAUUCGAUCAACAAUCUUCCCUAGCCUCUCCUUGCUCUCGUCCGGGGUGAGCUCGUCGAAGUUCUUGGAGUCCUCCUUGCCCAGGAAGGCCUCGUGGUCGUACUGGAAGCUCUGGUUGUCCUCAGGGGGCCGCUCGCCCAGCUCCGAGUCGGGCCGCACCACGCGCUCUUUGCGCACCGUGGGCUUGGCCCGCAGAACCCGCGGCGCCAGCACCAGCGCCAGCAGCAGCCCCAGGGCUAACCCCAGGCGGCCACCGCGCGCCAUCGUCCCGAGGAGAGGGCGGCCGGGAGGGAGACGCUGAGCGAGCGACAACAGCGGCAGCUCGGGAAUGGGGGCUCGGAGCGCGGCGGCCAAGUUUUAUGUUAUGUAUAUUUUACAAGUAAAAAAAUUUUUUCACCUCAGCCUGAACUGAACACUAGCUGACAGACGUUUUGAUUUCUUUGACCAUCACGGAAUCGUGGCCAAGCGCGGUGGCUCACAUCUGUAAUCCCAACACUUUGGGAGGUCAAGAUGGGCGGAUUGCUUGAAUCCAGGUGUUUGAGAUCAGCCUGGGCAACAUGACAAAACCCUGUUUCUAGUAAAAAUACAAAAAUUAACCAGGCUCAAGCCAUGACCAUGCACCAUUGCACUCC
This 2079-nucleotide long non-coding RNA is filed under the name Homo sapiens (human). RNAcentral's name for it is "TPT1 antisense RNA 1". Lineage: Eukaryota; Metazoa; Chordata; Mammalia; Primates; Hominidae. The record is from RNAcentral.